This is a regulatory RNA element of Ovis aries (sheep), 35 nucleotides long. It matches the Rfam family "Iron response element I". NCBI's taxonomy places the organism in Eukaryota, Metazoa, Chordata, Mammalia, Artiodactyla, Bovidae. The record is from Rfam.
CUGUCUCUUGCUUCAACAGUGCUUGGAUGGAACAG